GGACGAAAGUAGGGGAUCGCAAGACCUUGCGCUUUUGGAGCGGCCGAUGCCUGAUUAGCUUGUUGGUGAGGUAAAAGCUCACCAAGGCUCCGAUCAGUAGCUGGUCUGAGAGGACGACCAGCCACACUGGGACUGAGACACGGCCCAGACUCCUACGGGAGGCAGCAGUGGGGAAUUUUGGACAAUGGGGGCAACCCUGAUCCAGCCAUGCCGCGUGAGUGAAGAAGGCCUUCGGGUUGUAAAGCUCUUUCAGCCGGAACGAAACGGUCACGGUUAAUACCCGUGACUACUGACGGUACCGGAAGAAGAAGCACCGGCUAACUACGUGCCAGCAGCCGCGGUAAUACGUAGGGUGCGAGCGUUAAUCGGAGUUACUGGGCGUAAAGCGUGCGCAGGUGGUUUUGUAAGUCAGAUGUGAAAUCCCCGGGCUUAACCUGGGAACUGCGUUUGAAACUACAAAGCUAG
RNAcentral lists this ribosomal RNA (465 nucleotides) under uncultured bacterium. RNAcentral's name for it is "bacterial SSU rRNA". It matches the Rfam family "Bacterial small subunit ribosomal RNA", at positions 198 to 644 of the family's 1533-position model. The record is from RNAcentral.